GACAGCUUUCACGGGAAAUAUAUCCCAAAAGGGGCAACAAGAGAGAGCAUCUUAUUUAAAAGAUGUUUGGGGGCACUUGGCUGGCUCCAUUGGUAGACCAUGGAACUCUUCUUUUUUUUUAAUGUUUAUGUACUUUUGAGAGAGAGUGUGUGAGCAGGAAAGGGGCAGACAGAGAGGGGGACAGAGGAUCUGAAGCGGGCUCUGUGCUGAGAGCAGAAAGCCUGAUGUGGGGCUCAAACUCACAAAUCAUGAG
RNAcentral lists this long non-coding RNA (253 nucleotides) under Suricata suricatta (meerkat). RNAcentral describes it as "lncRNA (ENSSSUG00005003168.1)". Lineage: Eukaryota; Metazoa; Chordata; Mammalia; Carnivora; Herpestidae. The record is from RNAcentral.